GCGGAGGGAUCAUUACCGAGUGAGGGCCUCCGGGCUCGACCUCCAACCCUUUGUGAACACAACUUGUUGCUUCGGGGGCGACCCUGCCGUUUCGACGGUGAGCGCCCCCGGAGGCCUUCAAACCCUGCAUCUUUGCGUCGGAGUUUAAGUAAAUUAAACAAAACUUUCAACAACGGAUCUCUUGGUUCUGGCAUCGAUGAAGAACGCAGCGAAAUGCGAUAAGUAAUGUGAAUUGCAGAAUUCAGUGAAUCAUCGAAUCUUUGAACGCACAUUGCGCCCUUUGGUAUUCCGAAGGGCAUGCCUGUUCGAGCGUCAUUUCACCACUCAAGCCUGGCUUGGUAUUGGGCGCCGCGGUCGUUGAUCCGCGCGCCUCAAAGUGUCCGGCUGAGCUGUCCGUCUCUAAGCGUUGUGAUUUCAUUAAUCGCUUUGGAGUGCGGGCGGCCGCGGCCGUUAAAUCUUUCACAAGGUUGACCUCGGAUCAGGUAGGGAUACCCGCUG
Molecule: ribosomal RNA, 498 nt
Filed under: Septoria lactucae
Lineage: Eukaryota; Fungi; Ascomycota; Dothideomycetes; Mycosphaerellales; Mycosphaerellaceae
Description: eukaryotic LSU rRNA
Rfam family: 5.8S ribosomal RNA (bases 162-315)
Source: RNAcentral